UGGUGAUUUCUCAAGGAUUUCAGGGAGUCUCUGAACAGGUGAAGUACUGUCCUGAACACAUUCGAGCACUUUGCUGAUGAGCAGUGAUCCAAAAUCAUAAUACCUGUCAACAGGGAAGUGAAUGUUGUUGCUGGCGUGUGCACAGACUCUUUCAACAUUUUAACACCAUCAGCAGUUUGACUGUCCAACACAACAGACUGUAAGUAAAUAAAAUAUUACACUGUCCAAACUUGUUCUGCAAAUGAUCCACUGUGUGUUAAAAUAAAAUAAAACCCUUUAAUCUUUUGAA
This is a long non-coding RNA of Stegastes partitus (bicolor damselfish), 289 nucleotides long. RefSeq lists it as uncharacterized. Lineage: Eukaryota; Metazoa; Chordata; Actinopteri; Pomacentridae. The record is from RefSeq and is a predicted model, not a curated record. The transcript is spliced from 2 exons.